Cebus imitator (Panamanian white-faced capuchin) is the source of this 141-nucleotide small nuclear RNA. Its record names the gene U4. It matches the Rfam family "U4 spliceosomal RNA". Rfam says of the family: U4 small nuclear RNA (U4 snRNA) is a component of the major U2-dependent spliceosome. Lineage: Eukaryota; Metazoa; Chordata; Mammalia; Primates; Cebidae. The record is from Ensembl.
AGCUUCGUGCAGCGGCAGUAUCAUAGCCAACGAGGUUUAUCCGAGGCUUGAUUAUUGCUAAUUGAAAACUUUUCCCAAUACCCUGCCAUGAUGACUUGAAAUGUAGUUGGCAUUGGCAAUUUUUGACAGUUUCUAUGGAGU